Molecule: ribosomal RNA, 440 nt
Filed under: uncultured bacterium
Lineage: Bacteria
Description: partial 16S ribosomal RNA
Rfam family: Bacterial small subunit ribosomal RNA
Source: RNAcentral
CCUACGGGUCGCAGCAGUGGGGAAUAUUGCACAAUGGGGGAAACCCUGAUGCAGCGACGCCGCGUGAGUGAGGAAGUAUUUCGGUAUGUAAAGCUCUAGUAGCAGGGAAGAAAAUUACGGUACCUGACUAACACGCCCCGGCAAACUCCGUCACAGUAGCCGCGGUAAUACGAAGGGGGCAAUCGGUAUCCGGAUUUACUGGGUGGAAAGGGAGCGUAGCCGGGUAAUCAAGUCAGGAGUGAAAACCCAGGGCUCAACCUUGGGAGUGCUUUUGAAACUGCGUAGCUAGAGUGCAGGUGAGGUAAGCGGAAUUCCUGGUGUAGCGGUGAAAUGCGUAGAUAUUAGGAGGAACACCAGUGGCGAAGGCGGCUUACUGGACUGUAACUGACGUUGAGGCUCGAAAGCGUGGGGAGCAAACAGGAUUAGAUACCCGUGUAGUC